UGCCAAGCCAUUCUAUGAUUCCAUGGCACGCUCAUUCUUCAGAAGUUUGAGCAGCUCUGUAAUCACAGCUGUAUGGUGAGCCCACUCACCCAUGAAAUCAAUGUAUUUCCUGCAGGUUGUGCCACACUCUGCUCUCUCCACAUCCCAGCAGCAGCCCCGAGGCGAUGGAAGCUUCGUGGUGCUUCGGGGGACUCUUGUAGGUAUGCAAAAAUAAGCACCAGUGAGUGAAGAUGAAAGGAAAAGGUUGCUGGCUCCUUCCCCGGAGAUCGUAUUUCUUACUUGUUGCAUAACUGCUUAUUUU
RNAcentral lists this long non-coding RNA (301 nucleotides) under Phasianus colchicus (ring-necked pheasant). RNAcentral's name for it is "lncRNA (ENSPCLG00000010210.1)". Lineage: Eukaryota; Metazoa; Chordata; Aves; Galliformes; Phasianidae. The record is from RNAcentral.